AUGAAUCCGCAGGCACAAUCGCCACGGCGGAUUUCAUCUGCCCUGGCGAUCUCAGCGACGGCCACGACGGGAUGCAUCUCCGAACUCUCCAUCAGCUCCCUGGAAAAAUUCUCAUCGCGUGAUAAGCUGCAACAGAUCGUCACGACGGCUUCUACUGUUAAGGAUGUUGAACAUGCAUCAGCGGUGAUCCAUAAUUUAAGUGUUGACCAUCGGUGUGCCUCUGCAUCUAGCCAUGGUGUGGCCCAUCUCACUUGCCCUGCUACGUCUGUUGAAAAUACUAGUGCUGCAGAAUAUGAACCGAACUUCAGUAUGGUGGAUGGAGGUUCAGCUACAGAAUCCGGUAAAAGCCUGCAAACUCAAAUGAAUGAGCGAGAAUUUGCUACGCCAAGAAAGAAAGAAAGCAUUCCCCUAUUCUGCUCGUCUUUUACGCCGAGUUGCAACGAAAAAUUGAAGUCUACAAGUCGUAUGCACAUCAUGUGGGUUUUGGAGUUCGUGUCGGACAGCAGAAAAAGUUGA
RNAcentral lists this ribosomal RNA (516 nucleotides) under Triticum aestivum (bread wheat). RNAcentral's name for it is "partial small subunit ribosomal RNA". The record is from RNAcentral. Lineage: Eukaryota; Viridiplantae; Streptophyta; Magnoliopsida; Poales; Poaceae.